UCCAGGCAUGGUGGCACAUGCCUAUGGUCCCAGCUACUCUAGAGGCUGAGGCAAGAAGAUUCCUUGAGCCCAGGAGUUCUAGGCUGUAGUGUGCUAUGCUGAUCAGGUGUCCAAACUAAGUUCAUCAUCAAUAUGGUAACCUCCUGGGAGUGGCGGACCACCAGGUUGCCUAAGGAGGGGUGUACCAGCCCAGGUCAGAAAUGGAGCAGGUGAAAACUCCUGUGCUGAUCAGUAGUGAUCUUACACCUGUAAAUAGUCACUGCACUCAAGCCUGGGCAAUAUAGCAAGAUCCUGUCUUUAAA
RNAcentral lists this signal recognition particle RNA (302 nucleotides) under Pan troglodytes (chimpanzee). It matches the Rfam family "Metazoan signal recognition particle RNA". From Rfam's summary of the family: The signal recognition particle (SRP) is a universally conserved ribonucleoprotein. It is involved in the co-translational targeting of proteins to membranes. The record is from RNAcentral. Lineage: Eukaryota; Metazoa; Chordata; Mammalia; Primates; Hominidae.